GACUACCGGGGUAUCUAAGCCGGUUCGCUCCCCACGCUUUCGUGCCUUAGUGUCAGAAAUAGCCCAGUAACCUGCCUACGCCAUUGGUGUUCCUUCUAAUAUCUACGGAUUUCACUCCUACACUAGAAAUUCCAGUUACCUCUGCUACUCUCGAGUUUUACAGUUCGAAUAAUAGUCUGUAUGGUUGAGCCACCAGAUUUCACUAUUCGCUUAUAAAACCACCUACGCAACUCUUUACGCCCAGUCACUCCGGAUAAUGCUUGCACCCUACGUAUGACCGCGGCUGCUGGCACGUAGUUAGCCGGUGCUUAUUCAUAAGUUACCGUCAUAUUCUUCACUUAUAAAAGCAGUUUACGACCCGAAGGCCUUCAUCCUGCACGCGGCGUUGCUCCAUCAGGCUUUCGCCCAUUGUGGAAGAUUCCUCACUGCAGCCCCCCGUAGG
RNAcentral lists this ribosomal RNA (442 nucleotides) under uncultured bacterium. RNAcentral's name for it is "partial 16S ribosomal RNA". The record is from RNAcentral.